CCUACGGGGCGCAGCAGUGAGGAAUAUUGGUCAAUGGGCGCGAGCCUGAACCAGCCAAGUCGCGUGAGGGAGGACGGCCCUACGGGUUGUAAACCUCUUUUGCCGGGGAGCAACGGGCGUCACGUGUGGCGCCACUGAGAGUACCCGAAGAAAAAGCAUCGGCUAACUCCGUGCCAGCAGCCGCGGUAAUACGGAGGAUGCGAGCGUUAUCCGGAUUUAUUGGGUUUAAAGGGUGCGCAGGCGGAUUUUUAAGUCAGCGGUCAAAUCGUGGGGCUCAACCCCAUCCAGCCGUUGAAACUGGGGAU
RNAcentral lists this ribosomal RNA (305 nucleotides) under uncultured bacterium. RNAcentral's name for it is "bacterial SSU rRNA". It matches the Rfam family "Bacterial small subunit ribosomal RNA", at positions 338 to 640 of the family's 1533-position model. The record is from RNAcentral.